RNAcentral lists this transfer RNA (92 nucleotides) under Candidatus Dojkabacteria bacterium. Its description in RNAcentral is "tRNA-Ser". It matches the Rfam family "tRNA". From Rfam's summary of the family: Transfer RNA (tRNA) molecules are approximately 80 nucleotides in length. Their secondary structure includes four short double-helical elements and three loops (D, anti-codon, and T loops). Further hydrogen bonds mediate the characteristic L-shaped molecular structure. tRNAs have two regions of fundamental functional importance: the anti-codon, which is responsible for specific mRNA codon recognition, and the 3' end, to which the tRNAs corresponding amino acid is attached (by aminoacyl-tRNA synthetases). tRNAs cope with the degeneracy of the genetic code in two manners: having more than one tRNA (with a specific anti-codon) for a particular amino acid; and 'wobble' base-pairing, i.e. permitting non-standard base-pairing at the 3rd anti-codon position. The record is from RNAcentral.
GGAGAGGUGCCUGAGUGGUCGAAAGGAACUCACUGCUAACGAGUCGUAGAUCCAAAAGUCUACCGAGGGUUCGAAUCCCUCCCUCUCCGCCA